GCCAGGCAUGGUGGCUCAUGCCUGUAAUCCUAGCACUUGGGAGGCUGAGGCGGGCGGAUCAUCUGAGGUCAGGAGUUCGAGACCAGCAUGACCAACAUGGUGAAAACCCGUCUCUA
RNAcentral lists this small RNA (116 nucleotides) under Macaca mulatta (Rhesus monkey). RNAcentral's name for it is "Metazoan signal recognition particle RNA (ENSMMUG00000049393.1)". The record is from Rfam by way of RNAcentral. Lineage: Eukaryota; Metazoa; Chordata; Mammalia; Primates; Cercopithecidae.